This 594-nucleotide ribosomal RNA is filed under the name Triticum aestivum (bread wheat). RNAcentral describes it as "partial small subunit ribosomal RNA". Lineage: Eukaryota; Viridiplantae; Streptophyta; Magnoliopsida; Poales; Poaceae. The record is from RNAcentral.
AUGUCGGUGCCGGAGGCGGGGCAAUCGGCGGGGAGGGACGAGCAGGAGAUGGACGAUUACGAGCAGCACCAGACCAGAGUGCUCAUGGCGCUGAUGCAGGGCUUGUGCGCCGCAAGGUACCGCAAGGCCGACAACACCCCCUGCCUCGUCGACCAGGGCCUCUACUUGGGUUCUGUUGGAGCAGCACUGAACAACGAGGCUCUAAAGAGCUUGAACAUCACCCACAUCUUGGUUGUAGCCAGAUCACUGAAUCCCGCCUUUCCAGCAGAAUUUACGUACAAGAAGAUCGAGGUACUUGACAGCCCAGACACUGAUUUGGGAAAGCAUUUCGGUGAAUGCUUUACUUUCAUAGAUGAGGGUAUCUGCACUGGUGGCAAUGUGCUGGUUCACUGCUUUGCAGGUCGGUCGCGGAGUGUCACAGUUGUUCUUGCAUAUCUUAUGAAGAAGCAUCAGAUGAGCCUGCAAAGUGCCAUGUCACUAGUUAGAAGCAAACGACCUCAAAUAGCACCCAAUGCGGGCUUUAUAUCCCAGCUGGUGAACUUUGAGAAGUCUCUGCAAGUGGAGCAGGGACAAAGAACGUUGCAAUCUAACUAA